This 491-nucleotide ribosomal RNA is filed under the name uncultured bacterium. Its description in RNAcentral is "bacterial SSU rRNA". It matches the Rfam family "Bacterial small subunit ribosomal RNA", at positions 17 to 518 of the family's 1533-position model. The record is from RNAcentral.
UCCUGGCUCAGGAUGAACGCUGGCGGCGUGCUUAACACAUGCAAGUCGAACGGAGUUAUCAAUGAAACCUAGUGAUUGAUAACUAGUGGCGGACGGGUGAGUAACGCGUGGGUAACCUGCCUUAUCCAGGGGGAUAACAGUGAGAAAUUACUGCUAAUACCGCAUAAGCGCACGGUAUCGCAUGAUACAGUGUGAAAAGAUUUAUCGGGAUAAGAUGGACCCGCGUCUGAUUAGCUGGUUGGUGAGGUAACGGCCCACCAAGGCGACGAUCAGUAGCCGGCCUGAGAGGGUGAACGGCCACAUUGGGACUGAGACACGGCCCAAACUCCUACGGGAGGCAGCAGUGGGGAAUAUUGCACAAUGGGGGAAACCCUGAUGCAAGCGACGCCGCGUGAGUGAAGAAGUAUUUCGGUAUGUAAAGCUCUAUCAGCAGGGAAGAAAAUGACGGUACCUGACUAAGAAGCCCCGGCUAACUACGUGCCAGCAGCGGC